UACGUAGGGACCGAGCGUUGUCCGGAUUCAUUGGGCGUAAAGAGCUCGUAGGCGGCCACUCAAGUCGAAUGUGAAACCUCGAGGCUUAACCUCGAGCCUGCAUUCGAUACUGGGCGGCUAGAGUCUGGUAGGGGGAUCUGGAAUUCCUGGUGUAGCGGUGGAAUGCGCAGAUAUCAGGAGGAACACUGGUGGCGAAGGCGGGAUCCUGGGCCAGUACUGACGCUGAGGAGCGAAAGCGUGGGGAGCAAACAGG
Molecule: ribosomal RNA, 253 nt
Filed under: uncultured bacterium
Lineage: Bacteria
Description: partial 16S ribosomal RNA
Rfam family: Bacterial small subunit ribosomal RNA
Source: RNAcentral